UUAUACAAGAUUUUCAGAUUUUGAAACAUGGUUAAGUUGGGUUUCAGCUUGGGAUUUCUGAUUGACUCAGGAUACAUGAGCCAUAAGUUUGGUAGGCCUAGCCCUUUUGAAGAAAGUGAUGGGCUGAGAUGCAAAAACAUGUUCUGUGAUAGCCUAACAAGCUCCUCUUGUGCUCUCUCUCUUCUGCAUGUUUUUUUCUUGUCAACGGAGCUUGAUUCAUUAAGACAAACAAAUACAAGUCUCAUACACAGGGCCCAAACCGCCCAAGGAUGGUUUAUAUGCAUCAUGCAUGCAUACAUCAUAAACAAACAAAGCAAGAGCAUUAACAAAUCCUACCAACUCCUAGAUACGCGAAAGCAUAACUCCAAAAGCAUUGUAGUGUCUUUGUUACCAUGUUGCUGUCUCCACCAGAUAAGAGGGUCAUUGGACUUGUGGCUGAAACAAUCUUCAUAUUCAAUAAAAGUGUCAUCGGAUCCUUCCUGUCAUUCUCGCUCCUCCCUAUUCUUCUAACGAGCACUAUGGAAGAGGAAAAUGAGAGGGACGAUGCCCUCACCCUGCUCAUUAGAAAUAGAAAAAAUUGCAGAAGGUCAGAUUAAGAAAAAGAGCAUUAUGGAGGAAAGUAAGAGUGACAAUGCCCUCACCCUUGCUAUGCAUUGAUUCACGCUCAGAUGAACGAGAACCUGUAUCGUCUAUUAAUAGUCCCGAAGCCAAGAGGCUAAUCCAAAAUCAUUUUGGAUUACUUUUCACCCACACACUCACAGUUCUUCAAUGAGUUCUAAAGAGAUUUCGGACCUGGAAGCUGAAAUGGAAAUGUGGAACAUAGAAAAUAAUGAUCGUAAAAAGGACAGAUUCUCUCUCUCACUUGAACAUCCUAUAUUCAUACACUGUUUAAUAUAGUAUUCAUCCGUGUUGAAGUUUUUUUUUUUUUCAGAGUUGAUUACCGAAUUUCCAAUGCUAAGAAUAGGAAUGAAAUUGCAGACCUUGACCGUAAGAUUGAAGCCGUAACUUCAGAGAUUGACCGCGUGAGGUAGUAUAACGCCGCCAUUGUAACUCAAGUACCAAAGGCGGUGUCCAAAUACAUAUAUAAAUCAAAGGAAGAGGAGGCCCAUGAGAAUGGGAAGGGAAAGGAGAAGGUGGACCCAGCGAAGCCUUGACCGACGACCUUAUAUGCCCUGACCAAAAUAUCAAAAGGUCUCACUCAUCAACAUUUCGGGGCGAACUACAUUAUGGUCGGUUUCUUGGUGUGGAACCAAUAUCGUACUAUCUUUCCGGUUUUAUGUAAUGAUGACUUGAGAAUCUUUAGUUAUGUAAUUGUCUUUUAAAAGCUCAUCCUCCUUGCACUCUUCAUUUGUAUCAUUGUGUCACUUCCUUUUCCAAGUAAUUAUA
Long non-coding RNA from Lotus japonicus, 1386 nucleotides. RefSeq lists it as uncharacterized. The transcript is spliced from 6 exons. Lineage: Eukaryota; Viridiplantae; Streptophyta; Magnoliopsida; Fabales; Fabaceae. The record is from RefSeq and is a predicted model, not a curated record.